This 105-nucleotide microRNA precursor is filed under the name Aedes aegypti (yellow fever mosquito). RNAcentral describes it as "pre miRNA AAEL028830". The record is from RNAcentral. Lineage: Eukaryota; Metazoa; Arthropoda; Insecta; Diptera; Culicidae.
AAGUGUCGAUGAUGACGAUGAUUACGAUGAUUACGAUGAUUAGCGUUGAGCGUUAACGAUCAACGCUCCGUCAUCGUAAUCAUCGUCAUCAUCGAAACUUCAAAA